This 466-nucleotide ribosomal RNA is filed under the name uncultured bacterium. RNAcentral describes it as "partial 16S ribosomal RNA". It matches the Rfam family "Bacterial small subunit ribosomal RNA", at positions 28 to 507 of the family's 1533-position model. The record is from RNAcentral.
GAUGAACGCUGGCGGCGUGCUUAACACAUGCAAGUCGAACGAUGAAGCCCAGCUUGCUGGGUGGAUUAGUGGCGAACGGGUGAGUAACACGUGAGUAACCUGCCCUUGACUCUGGGAUAAGCGCUGGAAACGGCGUCUAAUACCGGAUACGCGCUUCCACGGCAUGGUGAGUUGCUGGAAAGAAUUGCGGUCAAGGAUGGAUUCGCGGCCUAUCAGGUCGUUGGUGAGGUAUCGGCUCAUUCAGCCGACGACGGGUGGCCAGCCGGAGAGGGUGACCGGCCACACUGGGACUGAGACACGGCCCAGACUCCUACAGGAGGCAGCAGUGGGGAAUAUUGCACAAUGGGCGCAUGCCUGAUGCAGCAACGCCGGGUGUGGGACGAAGGCCUUCGGGUCGUAAACCUCUUUUAGCAGAGAAGAAGCGAAAGUGACGGUACCUGCAGAAAAAGCACCGGCUAACUACGUG